RNAcentral lists this ribosomal RNA (2715 nucleotides) under Triticum aestivum (bread wheat). RNAcentral's name for it is "partial small subunit ribosomal RNA". Lineage: Eukaryota; Viridiplantae; Streptophyta; Magnoliopsida; Poales; Poaceae. The record is from RNAcentral.
AUGGCACUGCUCUUCCCGCCCCCGGCCCUCUCACCCAAACCCCCCUUCCCCUCCACCCUCCGAUCGACGCGGCCGCGGCGCGCCACCUGUAUCAGCAGCGUCUCCUCUCCUCGCCCUCCCGCUUCGGCGCCCUCCCCAUCCACCUCCUCGCCGUACAAGGCGCCGGCGCUAGACGGGGGCACGGAGACAAGGAAGAAGAAGAAGAGGAGGAACCUGAAGCCGAGCUUCGAGGAGCAGGCGCUCCGCCGCUGGUCCGCGAGGGCGCCCUCCCAGCGCGCCUCCUUCCCCUGGCAGCGGCAGCAGCCGCAGCCGGCUCACCGACAAAACGAGGGCGCGGAGGAUCAUGAGCCCAGUAGCGCCACGCUGCGGUCCAUCGUCGAGUACUUCGACUACGACUCCUCGGAGGAUGGCGGCGGCGGUGUUGGAGAGGGCAAGGACAAGGGGAAUGACGGCGUGGCACACGGCGAGGCGGCCCAUGACCGGGACGAAGAGUCGCGUUCCCAACCGACCUACCUUCUUGGGAGCCGGCCGGUCUCCGCGCCGUGGAUGCACGGGCAAGAAGGACCCACCGUCGUCGGCCGGCUGCUUUCGGGUCCGGUGGGCGGAGACGAGGAAGAGGCUGUCAGGAAUGGUGUGUUCGAUGAUGAGCUAGAUUCGGAGGAUGAAGACGAAGAGUGGGUGGACAACAGUGAGGUAUUGGAAGAAGAGCCAAUGACAGUGAACUUAGAAGAGGAAUUGUAUGAGGAUGAGGAUUCUGCUGCGCCGGCAACAAGUUCUUCUUUUCCGCUGGAUUCUAUACUGGAGGACCAAGCUUCCACAGGCGGUGGGUUCGACAGGAGUAUAAGGCGAAGCAGUGUAAGCUCAAUUGUCAACACACUCAGGAAUUCGAUGGAGGAAAGUGCCACAAUUGGGAGCUCCGAAGGGGAAGAUUUUGUCCAGAAGCUGGGUUCUGUGCUCCUUCCAUGGGAGAGGGAGGAGGGGAAUGCGUUUGAUGGUGACAACCGAGGGAGGCAUAGCAACACCAAGUUGGCAGAGAGGACUAUACCGGAACCAGAGCUGCGGAGGCUUAGAGACGCUGCAUUGAGGAUGAAGGAGAGGAUGAGGGUUGGUCCAGGAGGGGUUACACAUGCCAUUGUGGAGAGCAUCCACAGUAAAUGGAAGGUGGGCGAGGUGGUCAAGAUGAGGUUUGAAGGGCCUCCCAGCCUGAACAUGAAGAGAACCCAUGAGAUACUAGAGGACAGGACUGGAGAAACUGUGAUAUGGAGGUCAGGGAGGUCGAUUUCAUACGCCAAAAUUGCGGAAGUUGAUUCAUCUGAAAAUGCUGGCGAUGCCAUUGGUGUUGUACGCAGCUCUGAAGAGCGUAACUUGCAAAAGCCAACUGUUGAGCAUGAUUUUCAAAAGCCAAUUAUUGAGCGCAAUUUGCAAAAGUCAAGUGCAGACGAUGUGAAAAGAUCGAAAUCUAUCAUGAAUUUCUCUCAAGAAGCUACGGAAACGUUUGAUAUCGAUAGCUUCUUGGAUCAGUUGGGACCACGGUACAAGGAUUGGUCUGGUCGCAGCCCCAUCCCUGUGGAUGCUGACUUGCUUCCCUGUGGAUGGAGAAACAGGGAACACCAAGGCUUAGCUGCUGCUAUUGUUAAAGUAUGGGAGAAAAGUUCUAUUGUAAAGAUUGCCAUCAAGAGGGGGAAAUUGACAGGAGUACUUGUUUCGAGGAACAAGGAGUAUAUUAUUUUCUAUAGGGGAAAUGACUUCGUGACACCUAAAGUAAGGAAGGUCUUGGUGGAACAGCAACAACACGCAAUUACUCAGCAGGAACAGGAAGAGCUGGCCAGGCUCAAAGCAUCAGACUCAAUUACUCCCAUCCCCAAAGCAUUAAAGAAUCCUCUAGUUGCUGGCACUCUUGCAGAAACUAGAGAAGCCACAUCUCGAUGGGGAGAUUCACUUAAUGACGAGCUGAGGAAAAAGGAGAAUAAUUGUUUGAUUUUGGCCAAACAUACCUCUCUUUUGAAGAACAUGAAGAGAAAACUGAUUUUGGCGAAAACAAAGGUUGCAAAAGCAGAGAUGGCUUUGGCGAAAGUUCAGGAAUAUCUCUCUCCAGCAGAGCUUCCAACUGAUCUGGAAACUGUUACAGACGAGGAGCGUUUCCUAUUCCGCAGAAUUGGCCUGAAAAUGAAGGCCUUUUUGAUGCUUGGCAGGCGGGAAGUUUUUGAUGGUACUGUGCAAAACAUGCACUUUCACUGGAAGCAUCGAGAAUUGGUCAAAAUUGUUGUGAAGGGGAAGACCUUUGAACAAGUUAAACAUAUUGCUAUCUCUCUAGAAGCUGAAAGUGGAGGUGUGCUCAUUGCACUUGACAAGACAACAAAAGGAUAUUCAAUCAUUUUCUACCGUGGUAAGAACUAUAAAAGGCCCCAAGUUUUAAAGCCACGGAACCUAUUGACAAGGAGACGGGCAAUGGCACGGUCCAUUGAGCUCCAAAGACGAGAGGCAUUAAAUCAUCACAUCUCAGUUCUGCGACACAAGAUCUGGAAGUUGAAGUCACAGCUUGUACAGAUGAGGGCGGCUGGGAGAAAACAGGACGCAGAGUUACUCCAAACGGUUGAGGACGAUUUGUCUUCAGAUGAUGAUAAUAUACAGGAUGAAGGGGAUGAAGCUUACCUGCAAACUUACGGCAGCGACGAUGAGGACGAUGCCGACGAUGAUUCCAACGAAUAUCUCUGA